UACGUAGGGGGCAAGCGUUGUCCGGAAUUACUGGGCGUAAAGGGCGCGCAGGCGGUAUAUCAAGUCAGCUGUCAAAGACUGGGGCUCAACCCUGGUAUGCGGUUGAAACUGAUAUGCUGGAGUGCUGUAGAGGCAAGUGGAAUUCCCAGUGUAGCGGUGAAAUGCGUAGAUAUUGGGAAGAACACCGGUGGCGAAGGCGACUUGCUGGGCAGCAACUGACGCUGAGGCGCGAAAGCCAGGGGAGCAAACGGGAUUAGA
RNAcentral lists this ribosomal RNA (258 nucleotides) under uncultured prokaryote. RNAcentral's name for it is "partial 16S ribosomal RNA". It matches the Rfam family "Bacterial small subunit ribosomal RNA", at positions 524 to 782 of the family's 1533-position model. The record is from RNAcentral.